GUCCCUACGGGAGGCAGCAGUGAGGAAUAUUGGUCAAUGGGCGGGAGCCUGAACCAGCCAAGCCGCGUGAAGGAAGAAGGCGCCAAGCGUCGUAAACUUCUGUCGCGAGGGACGAAGAAUGACGGUACCUCGUAAGAAAGCCCCGGCUAACUACGUGCCAGCAGCCGCGGUAAUACGUAGGGGGCGAGCGUUGUCCGGAAUGACUGGGCGUAAAGGGAGUGUAGGCGGCAAUAUAAGUUAGAUGUGAAAUCCCGCGGCUCAACCGCGGAACUGCAUCUAAAACUAUAUAGCUGGAGUGCAGGAGG
Molecule: ribosomal RNA, 305 nt
Filed under: uncultured bacterium
Lineage: Bacteria
Description: bacterial SSU rRNA
Rfam family: Bacterial small subunit ribosomal RNA
Source: RNAcentral